This 318-nucleotide ribosomal RNA is filed under the name uncultured Paracercomonas. Its description in RNAcentral is "SSU rRNA". The stretch from base 101 to 318 matches the Rfam family "Eukaryotic small subunit ribosomal RNA", at positions 736 to 955 of the family's 1831-position model. The record is from RNAcentral. Lineage: Eukaryota; Cercozoa; Cercomonadida; Cercomonadidae.
AAUUUCUGGUACGAUGCGCCUGAUCCACGUUCGCAAGAACGCGAGUAUCGGAGUGUAUCUGCCAUCCUUCUAGUUAGCUGGCUGUACUUAACUGUGCGGUCAGUGAUCUAGAUCAUUUACUUUGAAAAAAUUAGAGUGUUUAAAGCAGGCUUGCGCUAUGAAUACAUUAGCAUGGAAUAAUAAUUUAGGACUUUGGUCUUAUUUUGUUGGUUUCUAGGACUAAAGUAAUGAUUGAUAGGGACAGUUGGGGGUGCUAGUAUUCAGCGGCCAGAGGUGAAAUUCUUGGAUUCGCUGAAGACUAACUUAUGCGAAAGCAUU